CCUACGGGAGGCAGCAGUGAGGAAUAUUGGUCAAUGGACGAGAGUCUGAACCAGCCAAGUAGCGUGAAGGAUGACUGCCCUAUGGGUUGUAAACUUCUUUUAUAAAGGAAUAAAACGAGGCACGUGUGCCUUUUUGCAUGUACUUUAUGAAUAAGGAUCGGCUAACUCCGUGCCAGCAGCCGCGGUAAUACGGAGGAUACGAGCGUUAUCCGGAUUUGUUGGGUUUAAAGGGAGCGUAGAUGGGUUGUUAAGUCAGUUGUGAAAGUUUGCGGCUCAACCGUAAAAUUGCAAUUGAUACUGGCAGUCUUGAGUACAGUUGAGGUAGGCGGAAUUCGUGGUGUAGCGGUGAAAUGCUUAGAUAUCACGAAGAACCCCGAUUGCGAAGGCAGCUUACUAAACUGUGACUGACAUUGAUGCUCGAAAGUGUGGGUAUCAAACAGGAUUAGAUACCCGAGUAGUC
This 460-nucleotide ribosomal RNA is filed under the name uncultured bacterium. Its description in RNAcentral is "partial 16S ribosomal RNA". It matches the Rfam family "Bacterial small subunit ribosomal RNA", at positions 338 to 795 of the family's 1533-position model. The record is from RNAcentral.